CCUACGGGAGGCAGCAGUGAGGAAUAUUGGUCAAUGGACGAGAGUCUGAACCAGCCAAGUAGCGUGAAGGAUGACUGCCCUAUGGGUUGUAAACUUCUUUUAUAUGGGAAUAAAAUGUUCCACGUGUGGGAUUUUGUAUGUACCAUAUGAAUAAGGAUCGGCUAACUCCGUGCCAGCAGCCGCGGUAAUACGGAGGAUCCGAGCGUUAUCCGGAUUUAUUGGGUUUAAAGGGAGAGUAGGUGGAUUGUUAAGUCAGUUGUGAAAGUUUGCGGCUUAACCGUAAAAUUGCAGUUGAAACUGGCAGUCUUGAGUACAGUAGAGGUGAGCGGAAUUCGUGGUGUAGCGGUGAAAUGCUUAGAUAUCACGAAGAACUCCGAUUGCGAAGGCAGUUCACUGGACUGCAACUGACACUGAGGCUCGAAAGUGUGGGUAUCAAACAGGAUUAGAUACCCUUGUAGUC
Molecule: ribosomal RNA, 460 nt
Filed under: uncultured bacterium
Lineage: Bacteria
Description: partial 16S ribosomal RNA
Rfam family: Bacterial small subunit ribosomal RNA
Source: RNAcentral